This 11941-nucleotide long non-coding RNA is filed under the name Arabidopsis lyrata. RNAcentral's name for it is "long non-coding RNA (ALYR_LNC001272)". Lineage: Eukaryota; Viridiplantae; Streptophyta; Magnoliopsida; Brassicales; Brassicaceae. The record is from RNAcentral.
AAAUAAAAUAAAAAAAAAAACCUCAAAAAGAUGACAAUUAAGGGUAAAAUGUAUACCUUUUCUUGGAGGGGCUCCCCUGUGGAGAAGGAAAAGAAUCCCUUGAAGAUAUAUCAGAAAACUGAUCAUCUUCGGUUGUUGGUUUAGCGGAUAAGAUUGAAAUGGCAUCGGAAAAGCUUUCGGCGAUGGAUUUAGCAAGAUCAUAACUUGAAACCGGUCCGCCAUCAGCCAUUGGAUGGUCGAUCCGCAUCUUUAACCGCAUGGCGCAGCUAAGGCCAUAUCGGAUAGCUUGCACCGCCUUUUCGUGUGGGGAGUUCAUUUCCAUAGAGUAGAGUGAACUUGUGUGUGUGUGUUUCUUGUUUGUUUUCUUUUUCUAAAGUCUCUUCUCCGUGCUAUAAAAUUUUGAACGGAUAGGGAGAUCAGAAUUUAUAGGACAACUUUAGGCAAAAAAAAAAUUUUAAUUAGACGAUUAUAAAUUAUAUUUUCGAUAUAGGACAUGUGCUCGGCUAGACCUAUAUCGUGAAUCUAAAUAAAGAGAGACAAAAAGAUAGAUUAGGUGUUGACCUUAGCAUAUGAUCUGUCAUGUAUAGGAAACAUAAUUCAUUUUAUAUACCUUUCCCAGUACGCGGCUCAGUUAAUUAUAUACAAUUUUUUUAUACAUUAUUUCAGAAUUUCUCUGUUUUUAGUUACACUAAUCUACGCGGUUCGCUUAAUUAUUAAAGAUUAAAAAAUAAAAAACAACGUCUGUUAGAAUACUUAAGGGGCUUAAUGGUUUUCCUUGAGUAUAUAAGACAGGAGGAAUCUAAUAGAAAACUGUGUUCUACAAAAAGUCAGAUAGAUUAGAGAGAGUUAUGAGCUAUGAUAAACCCCAAAAUAUUAAUGAUUUUAAAAUUUUCUAUUGUAAUCUUUCCAUUUCAAUAAAAGUGUUGGUAAUUUUUUAAAAUCUGAUUUAGAAAAUAAAUAGCAGAAAAAUUUUAAGGAUAAAUUUGUUUGCUUAAUUUUGUUGAUUGAGUCGUUAAAUAUAUUUUCUGUAAUAUUUUGAUGGCUUGUUUUAAUUAUAAUUUAUACGUUAAAUAUUAAAAAGAGUUUAAAAGAUAAUAGAUUUUACGUUCAUAUACUGUAUAUGACAGAAAUAUAAAUAUAUGUAAUAAAUUGGACGUUUACAAAAAAAAUAUAACAUAUUUUACACGUCCCGCAAUGUUUAACUCAUAUAGAUGAAACGUGUAAAAUAAUUUUUGCUGAAUAUAAUAAGCUUUGAACCUUAUAUAUGAUCAAUUCAUUGUUUUGUAAUGAAAAUACUCCACUAAAAAUGUUAAUCACUGGUGGAUAUCUUUUUUUUUUUUUUUUUUUGACAUCUUUGGAUCGACAAGGCCCGAAUCACUGGUGGAUAUCUUUAAUGCUAAAAUUAUUUAAUUUUGUAGUGAGUUUUAGUUUAGACUUUAAAUAAAAAUGCAAAUAUUUAGACUUAGACCAGACAAAAGAAAAUUAUUAGGUAAUAGAUUAACAUUAACAAGUAAGAUCUAACAAUUUUUCAACGCUUAUAAAAAGAGAUAUAUAAUUGCGAUGGAGCUGGCGAGUGGCGACUAAUGCACCAAUGAAAACGGCAUUAGUUUCGUCGGACACUCGACGUCAGCCCCAUGACGUAGUUAAAACCGAAGGGGCUGUUUCAGCAGAUUGACGUCAGAACAUUAAUACAGAUGUUGAUUAUAAUAGUAUAUACUAACGACAACUACUAGUCAACUAUGCUGUGAGAUUCAUUUGCUGGCUACUAGUCCAUAUUUUAUUUUAAUCUAAAAUUAAGAAUUUGUAAUUAAUAAGCUUUGCAAAAAAAAUUGGGUAAACUUGAAUCUCAUACAAAAGAAAAUUUAGUAAUUACAUUUUAAGCGGAUAAAUUGAUAAAAUAUACAUAUAAUAGCUUGUUUUUGAAUAUAUAGUACAAUCUGAAAACUAACCGAUCCAAGUUAUAUAAUCACAUUUUAAAGUAGUAGAUGGCCAACCCAAAAAGAUUUCCCUAUCAGAUUGUGGUAUUUACUGGCAGGGCCGGUCCUAAUGUGUGGGAGGCCUAAAGCAAAUCACUGAACAUGUGGCCUUAUUUUAAAAACAAUUUUAAUGUAUAUUUUUACUUAUAAAUUUUCUGAAAAUAAAAUGUAAAACUUACUAGAUUUUUAAUUUUAUAGUGCAAAACUAAAUAAAUCUUAUUUAAAAAAUAAAGUUUGGAUUAAAUAUAUAUACUUCUGAUAUGAAAUUGUUUAGUUUUCAAAUUACAUGUAGUUCCGCUUUGAUUAUUAUUUUAUUUUAAAUGUUGAAAAAAAUGAGAGAUGAUAGACUUUAGUGAGAAUUGAAAAUAUAUAAACUAAAAAGGAAAUAUUAAUUUAGGGCUUGAUUGGUUCUCCCGCUAGGACCCGUCUAGCGGUUGCUAGCGCGCGGUUGCGGUUGUUAGCGGUUGGUACCAAUCAUAGAAAUCGCUCCAUACCGUUUCGAACCGCUCCAAAUCGCUGGAUUUCAAAAGCUCCUUUUCGCAAGUGUUUGCGGUUGCGGACGGUAGCGGUUGGAUUAAAAAAAAACGUUUACUUAUAAUUAUUAGAAUAUAUAUUAAUCCUAUACUUAUAAUCUUGUAUUAAAAUUUCUUUAUUUUUGAAUAAUUAUUUAGUACUUUAUUUAUGGUUUUAAUUAUUAAGCAUGUUCAAUUUUUUUAAUAUUAUCAUAAUAAUAUAUUGGUGUUUUUAUUUUUAUUUUUUAGUAAUAUUUCUUAUCUAUUUUAGUCAUUUUUUAAUUUAACUGCUACCGCACCUGCUGGUUUAUCAGUCAUAAAACUCCCGCAAACGCAUCCAUUUUCAAACGCUAAACCAGUCGUUCAAAACGCUUAGUAACGCUUGAAGCUGCAACCGCCCGCUUUCGCAAACUCCCGCAAUCACUGCGUUUAAACCAGUCAGACCCUUAGAAGAUAUGGAAUAAGUAAAAAUGGAAAGCAUAUGAAUGAUCUGAAGUCGUGAGACACUUUCUUAUUAAGAGAAACAUAACACAAAUGUCAAUAUAUAACAGAUUUACUUUUGGAUAUUGUGGCCUCAAAAUUUAGUAUUUUAAAUGUAGCCUAAAGCAUGAUGUUUUGUCUGCUUUAUGGCAAAGCCGGCCCUGUUUACCAGCAAUGAAUUAACCACCAAUUCAUGAAACUGUACAACAAAAUACGACUUUUUUAGAAUGGUAAGUUCUAUUUACCCAUCAAUUUAACAACCCUAUCACUUCUGCGGGUGAAUAAUGUUAAUUGAUACUUUGAUAGAUAUCUCCAUAAAAGAAAUAUAUUUAUAAAUUUUCGCAUGUGACUUUAAUUUGAUCUGAUCUGUGAAACUUUGCCCACGUGUAUUUUGUUCUUGUUAUUAGCAAUUUGUUAAAUAUUGUUCUUGUUAUUGGCUAUAUUAUAUUGAGAAAGGGGUCACAUAUGUACAAGUCAAGCAAAGCUAUAUGGGUCAAGUCAUAUUAUUUUAUGUGUCGAAAGGAAAUGUGAAUGUGAACAUGACUUACAUGAUAAUAAUGUUGAUACAUUUUUAAAUAUUUUAUUUAUUAGCUAAUUAAACCAAGUAGUUAAUCAAAGCGAGAAAACAAAACUAUAUUCUAUAUUCUUUGUCCACGAAUUCACCUCUCUCUCAGGACUAGACCUAGCCGCCGCUCUCUCAAGUUUACAAGUUUGCCCAGAUCGGUGACCGGAGUACGGUGGCUCCUCUAGCACCGGCUUCGGUCCUCCUUUUGUUCUUUCCUUUCUUGGUUUUAGUUUUGUGUUAAUUAAAAGAAUCUUGUGGCCUUCGAUUGGGGUUUCGAUUUAGUUUGAUCGGUUUGUGAUUUUGGGUGUUUGUCGGAAGCGGUUUGAGUGUUUCAGAUUUGUGGUUCAGGGCUCUUGCGAAGAUGAUGGAGCCGGAUCUGAGAUCGACGGUGACGAGUAUGUAAUAAAGCCAUUGCUUUUCGCCUUCCCCAAAUCCAGAUCUGUUACUCGCUCUUGUGCUUCAUGGUGUUUUGAUGUCGCGUGCUUGGCUUGUGUGAGCUCUGUAGUUAGCUUUCAUCUUGCCUUAGCCUCUCCGCUCACCCUUAUUGCCUGGUUUAGCUAAUAGUUGCUCGUUUGGUUCGUCUCCUUUCUAAGAUAAGGCCUUUGUUGUGUGAAGUUAUGCUAGUGUCGUUUGGCUUCAGAUCUUUCUUCUCUUAGGUGGAAGUUACUGGUGAUGAUUUCCGUUGUAGAUGAGUGUCGUUUUUUUUCUUGAUUUCGAAGCUCAUCGAGGUGGUUAUGUUUCGCUCCUUGUCUCUGCGUUUCCGAAUCAGGAGGAUGUCGGAUUGCAUCUUUUUGACUUCUAUCAAGGCGUUCUUUGACGCACCCUCGUCGCAGCCGCAUUUGGAAGUGUUUAAUGAGGAUCUAUUUGGACCUUUACUUGUCAGAUUAUGAAGUCAUUGUUACUUGGUUUCGAGAGAUCUUCUCUCAUUGUGAUAGGAGGAAGCAGUUGUGAUUAAUGGUUGGCCUUGGGCAGCAUUGAUAUAGCUCAUUCGCAGAAACUUCAGAAGAAGAAGAUCGAUUUGGUUAUUUUGACUUAGUGUUUAUCUUCUUGUUUAUUUUUAGUUUGCCUCUUUUCUUAGUUUUUGGUUUCGUUCUCUUUCGAUUUCGGCUUUAAAAGUUUAUGUUGUUUUUAGCGUAGACUUAGAUUUUGGGGAAUUCUCUUUUUUCUCCGACUUUGUCUUCGGGGACUUUUCCUUUGUCCGCCGGCUUAGCUUCCCUCUUUUGGGCUUUAGACUCCGGGGAUAUCUUUGUUUUCCGCCGGCUUAAGUAUUUCACCUUGCUCGAAAUCUUACAUUUUUCCUACUUAACUAAUAGAUAACCUACCCAAGUUAAAUGUCUUAACCACAUUUAUCUAUACAAAACAGACAAGCUACAUCCUUGGAUAAAAAAAAUAACAAGCCACAACUUUUAAACAACAUAUACAAAUUCUCUCUUUAUGGUUGUACUUGUAUAGUCAUAGAUUUUAUUAGACCAAGAUGAUUGAAAAUUGUAGAUAAAAGGCCUUUUGAAAUACUUAAACUUUGUUAUCAUCAGAGUCGUUAUUGAUAGCAAUUUUGGCAAAUGAAAACUCAGGUUUAUAGUGAGGAGUACGGUUUCCUUGAACCACCUUUCAUUAGACUUGUAGAAGAAGCACAUGAUCCAGCUUCCUUCUUCUUUUCACCCAUCUAAUUCUGGAUUUCUUCUUCGACAUGUAAUAUAUUCAUUUAUUCAAAGUUUAAAUAUUGUCAAACCAAAGCUACUUUUACUUAGUCCAUUUAAAUAGAAUCUUAUUAGGGAAUUUAAAUUGUUACGUUAGUAACGCAACGGAAGAGAAAAACUUAGGAUACCUGGACUUAUCAGCAAUUUCAAUGGACUUAUAAAAAGCCAUUUGAAUUUGAGAUAUUUUUUUUGUUAUAGAUAAACAAAUUACCUAAAACUAACCAAUCCAAGUUAAUGUGAACAUGGCUUACAUGAUAAUAAAAGAUUGUUAAUAUAUAUAGUAUAAUCUGAAAACUAAGCAAUCCAAGUUAUACAAUCAUGUUUUUAAAGUAACAGAUGGUCAAUCCAAAAAAAUUUCCUAAUCAGAUUGUAUUCAUCGAUGGUAUAUAUAUUUUUUUUUUCAUCGAUGGUAUUUACAGGCCAUGGAUUAACACCAAUUCAUUAAACUGUACAACAAAUUACGACUUAUUUAGAAUGGUAAGUUCUAUAUAUUUACCCAUCAAUUUAACAACCUUAUCUUCUUCUGCGGGUGAAUAAUGUUAAAUUGAUAGAUAUCUCCAUAAAAGAAAUAUAUUUAUGAACUUUCGCAUGUGACUUGAUCUGAUCUGUGAAACGUUGCCCACGUGUAUUGUUUAGGUAUUCGUACUAUAUUGAGAAAGGGGUCGCAUAUGUAUAAGUCAAGCAAAGCUAUGGGUCAAGUCAUAUUAUUUUAUGUUGCGAAAGGAAAUGUGAAUGUGAACAUGACUUACAUGAUAAUAAUGGUGAUACAUUUAUAAUAAUUUUAUUUAUUAGCUAAAUAAACCAAGUAGUUGGAACGUUGCUUCCAUGACUUCUUUUAUCUGACGACGACUUCAACCAAAUUUCCCCAUUUUCAAUAAUCCUAUACAGAACUUAUCUUUAUAUUAACUUCUUCUGGACUUUUAAAUUCAAGAUAUUUAUCUGUAGAUUCGAUCGUGCUUCCAGCUUUAAUAAAUAAAUAGUUUUGACGUCCUGAUUUUUCCUAAUAAGGUAAAAAAAAAAAAUCCAUCGUCCUUGCUCGCGAUCUUACAUUUUUCCUACUUAACUAUUCCCUCCGUUUCAGUUUAGUUGUCGUUUUAGGAUUUAAAUUUUGUUUCAUAAUAGUUGUCGUUUUAGGUUUUCAAUGCAAAUAUUUGGUAAAAAUUCCAGUUUUAUCCCUACAGUUUUAAUGUUUUGGCCAAUGAAAUUUUUUAUAAAAUAUAUUAAUAAAGAGUAAAACAGAAAAUUUAAUACUUUCUUAAUUUGUGUGAAAAAACCUUAAACGACAACUAAAACGAAACGGAGGGAGUAAUAGAUAACCUACCCAAGUUAAAUUUCUUAACCACAUUUAUCUAUACAAAACAGACAAGCUACAUCCUUGGAUAAAAAAAUAACUAGCCACAACUUUUAAACAACAUAUACAAAUUCUCUCUUUAUGGUCAUAUAGAUUUUAUUAGACCAAGAUGAUUGAAAAUUGUAGCGCCCUUUUAAGUAGAUAAAAGGCCUUUUGAAAUGCUUAAACUUUGUUAUCAUCAGAGUCGUUAUUGAUAGCAAUUUUGGCAAAUGAAAACUCAGGUUUAGUGAGGACUACGGUUUUCUUGAACCACCUUUCAUUAGACUUGUAGAAGAAGCACAUGAUCCAGCUUCCUUCUUCUUUUCACCCAUCUAAUUCUGGAUUUCUUCUUCGACAUGUAAUAUAUUCAUUUAUACAAAGUUUAAAUAUUGUCCAACCAAAGCUACUUUUACUUAGUCCAUUUAAAUAAAAUCUUAUUAGGGAAUUUAAAUUGUUACGUUAGUAACGCAACGGAAGAGAAAAACUUAGGAUACCUGGACUUAUCAGCAAUUUCAAUGGACUUAUAAAAAGCCAUUUGAAUUUGAGAUAUUUUUUUUGUUAUAGAUGAACAAAUUACCUUUAGGAGUUAUAAAAAAACAAUGACUAAUAGGCUUUUUAUUUUUUAUUGGGCUUUUGCAUAUAUCUAUGUUUACCAAUACUUUCCAGCCCAUGCAUUAAUUGUUUCUUCAAUAGAAAAAUGUUUUACUACUUUGGGUUUUUGGAGCUAAGUAUAGCUGUAUAGGCCAUUCCACGGUCGAUCGAUAACUUCCCAGCAAUUUGAACCAGUUCGCAUGUUACCCGACCUAGCUCGUUUGCACUCUAUAUAAGCUUUUCUCAUUUCAGACCUUUUCAAUCAAUCUUGCUCCUCUGCUUCUCCGCUCUACGAAAUCAUGCUCGGCAUUAGCUACGGUUGGACCAUUUUUAUACGGAGCACAAUGCAUUUUCCCCUACAGCAUUUCACAACGCUCACCUAAGCACUUCUCAUGAGGUAAAACGUACAUGUGUGAAGAUAACAAAUUUGAAUGAAGGAUAAAAAAAAAUUAAGCAAAAUAAAAUUGUGGGGAGUGUCUUUCCUCAAAUGGUUAAAGGUCCACAUUCUUCCUAUUGAAAAUUCGACUCCAAUAAAUCACGUUACUCCGCGUAUUAGGGAUUAAGUUAUUGGUUGGGUAUUCUCGACCCAAAUAACAGAAAGAAAAAAAAAAAAAGGUAAAAUUGUUUUACCAUGGCAUACCAUAAAUCUCCUCAUCGGAUCCGGUCCAUAUUUUGUUUCUCAAAAAAAUAGUACCAAUAAUGUUAGGCAAUGGGUCGAUAUAAUGUCAUUUUCAGUGGGAAUUGAUUUAAGAGCAUGGCCACAUGCUACUUUAAUCAUAUCUUUAAGAGGGAAAUAAUGAAGAAAAUAGAAUUGAUGGGUCCAAGUUUCAUGUGACUGGAGAAGAAUGAAGGAGCGCAAGAAGGAUCAUAGAAAAGAAAUAGUCUGGCUGAAUCAAACUUUAUUGUAAAAGGGGUUCACAAAAGAUGAGCUGACACAAAUCCAUGCACCAUGUUUCUCUUUCCAUUGGAUUUUUUUUUCCUCUCAGAUCUUCUUCCCAAAAAAAAGAAGAUCUGUAUACCUUUUCUUAGGGACCUUAGGGUUGAGUGAUUAGCAUAUUCAAAUCUAACUUGAAAUGAAAGAAAUUACCAAGUCAACUGAAUCCACUUUGGUAUGAUUUAAGAUUGGUUUAUAGGUUCAAUUUGGUUCGGUCAAAUUGAUUUGAUCAUUGUAAUAAGAAUCUUAAAAUAGGAUUAUCAAAUCGUGUAGUUUCCUUUGGAUCAAUAUUCCAUGGAAUUUAUUCACGUUUUUUGGUCGAGGAAAAUUAAUCCAAAAUCUACCAUCAUUUUGAUUUUGAUAUAACGAACUCAUUUUCUUAUAUUGACGAAAUUCGCCUACCAGUCUUUGAUAGAAUCAUAUCGAUUUGAUCAAAUACAUGCAUGCAUAUGGAGAAAAUUAACAAACAAAACAAAUGUGAGGUUAUUUUCAGUUCUUGUGGGUACACAAUGUAGGACAUCGCAAAUGAGACUUGAGAGUACCUAAAUGAAUCAUUUUUCUUCAUCACAUACAUACUACAAGAAAAUAAACAAUACCAUCACCGUGAGCAAUAUUUAUGUCGCCAUAUAAUCUUUAAUAUGUUUCCAAAUAAAUUGAAGAUAGCAAUACAUAUGGUGAUAGACAACGACGGAACCAACCAUUCACGUGCUAAUUUUUUUUGUCACCAUCGAUGAGAGAGAUGAUCAGAUGAACAGUACUAUUUUUCUCACUAAUGGUAAGACCUUACGUCAAGAUUAUUCGGUAGGGAAAAUCAGAUAUGCAACGUUUUUGAAUAUCAAAGAGAAGUCGGAAAAAAAAAUGACUUCUUUGUAUAUAUCAAUCACAUCGAACGUGAGACUAAACCACUUACCACGCUUAUAAGUUUCUUACUUAUAACAAUAAUGUUUCACUUGUGCUUUUAACAAAAAAUAAACAACAAUGUUUCAAAAAAAAAGUUGUGAUCCGAUUUAGUAGGUACGGUGAUGUAUGCGUUUUUAUCAAUUAAUAAUCUAAAUGCAUCAACGAUCUAUCGCGAAAGUAUUUUAGAUGUCGAACCACAAGGAAUAAAGAUUGCAACACUAAAGAUGCGAGAUUCAAACUAAUCUAGAGGAAAUGAUUUUUAGGUUUUUGUUUUGAUGAAAAGAUAAGAAAUCCAAGAAGUAAAAUAAAGAAAAAGCAUUGGACCAUGGGUUUAACUAUCAUGAGAAUUGAUUAACAUUCAAACAAUGAUGCAAGAGGUUGAAUUAAGCACCAUCCUAGAACAUGAAACUCACAAUUAUGAUAAAUCCACUUCCAUGGUACUAAUCACUUCACUAAUCAUAUAAUCAUCAACAACUUCCGUUCCCAAUCAAAUGACCAAUGAGCAUUAAAAACAAGUCCAAUUAGUUCACUAAACACUCUAUUCAUCAACUCCCGUUGGCUAGAUAUGUAAAGCUCAUAAAGGUUUGGUUCAAGCAUUUUCACAAACACCUUCCGGGCAUGAAUUGCAUAAGGUCUAGAUUUUGAGUGAUCAAGUCAAAACUAGCAUUAAGAGCAACCUAGAUGAAGGAUCUAACAAUAAGCAGCCUAAAUCAUCAUCAUCUAACCAUCAAAUUAUCCUAAUCUAGCAUAACCCAUUAUCCAACAAAAAGACUAGCUACUAAACAUGGUGAAAGAUAAAAAAAAAAUGCGUAACAUAAAGAUACAAGAUAAAGAUGAAGAAUCCUUCACUAAAGUGGCAUGAAUUGUUGAAGAUCAAUCCAAAAUAUCAAGAAGAGAGUUUGGAUCCUAAUCCAACUCUAGAGAAGAAAACUUAGGUUACAAAAUGUCUAAAAAUUGCUUAAAUACAAAAUAGAAUCGAACCGGAUUGACCCGAGAUAAACCGGGUCAAACCCAAAAAUUUGCAAAGGCUUCUAUAGAUGCAUAGGUCGAUUGCUCCCUCGAUUGCUUCUCGUCUGCAGCCUGUUAUCGUCCCAAUCGACCAUUAAAUCGACCAACAGGUCGAUUGAAAUGUUCAGUGACUCCUCCUUUGUUCUUUUCCGCGCCUGAGUGAUAUAUCUCUAUUAAAACCACCAUAAUUCUUGCAUCGAAGCUCUGAUUCGCUUGAAAUCACCUCCGUUGGAAAUAUAACUCAAUUUCCUAUAACUUGUAUGAAGAGUUCUGAAGCUAAAUCAUCAAUUCUCUUCUUUGCAUCCAAAUGUGUGUCGUCCAUUAUUUUAACCUGAAAUUGCUCAAAAGACACACAAAACACACCAAAAGACACACAAAGACACUAUAGGACUUUUAAAAUGGAAGAAGACUCACUUGGACACUAAAUGCAACAAAACACAAUUAAAAUAUUAAUGAAACACAAUAAAAUGGAUCUUAACAACAACGAUAAAGCGGUAAAUAUAAAGUAUAUCAUAUGGCUAGAACAGCAUCGCUAGUGUUUGGAUAGAAAAAAUAAAUGUUCGAUUUAAACGUGUUGAACUCUUCAGAUAUCCCAAAUUCCCAAUCCUAUAAAUAUUGUUGGUAUGGUCCAUGUGGUUACAACAAAACGGUCAAAAUAUCAAGUAUAUAGUAGUUAAAAAAUGGCUGAUGAAGUUAUUAGAUAUAUUCCAUUACAGUUUUUUUAUCAGUUAAAUCAACUGAAACAAAGUUCUUAGAAUUGUUUUUUUUCUAGAUUAGUCAUAUAUUUAGAAUUUGUGUGGUACGCCCUAGCUAGCUGGUGCGGCUAUGCAUUACAGCUACACAAGUUAUUUUUUUCGGUGAAUGAGAACACAGACAUGCAAAUCCACUUAAAGUCAAAACUAUUCGAAACCUAAAAUUUCGGACAGUAAAUUCGAAAUACAAAUUAUAACCUGACAAAACAUGUAAGUUGUCAAAGACUAGUUGAAAAACAAAUGAAAACCAAGCAAAAAAAUUGUUUAAAUUCAGAGACAAAUAGUCAUAUAGGUAAUGUCAGAAGCAGACAGAAGAUUGUACAUUGAAAUCAAGCACAGCAAAAAGCAUUAUUGUUCACACACAUGUGUACAGACAUACACACGUGUACAUUCACACGUGCACACAUACAUAGGAAUCUCCACCUCUAUAUAAGAAAUGCUUCAACAUAAGUAUACUUGUAAGUGUGUGAAGCUUAAGUAAUAAAAUUAAUGGCAACUUCAGGGUUUAAGCAUUUGGUGGUUGUGAAGUUUAAGGAAGAUGCUAAGGUUGAUGAGAUCUUGGAGGGCUUGGAGAAUCUUGUUUCUCAGAUUGAUACUGUCAAAUCCUUUGAAUGGUUUGUGAUCAUUGUUUUUUUUUUUCUUUCUAUAAUUAAAAUAAUAUUUUGGAUCUCUAGCUAGUUAAUGACCGUACGAUUUGAUGAUAACUAGGGGAGAAGAUAAAGAGAGUCACGAGAUGCUUAGACAAGGAUUCACUCACGCAUUUUCAAUGACCUUUGAGAACAAAGAUGGUUACGUUGCCUUUACAAGCCAUCCUCUUCACGUUGAAUUCUCAGCCGCUUUCACCGCCGUUAUCGACAAGAUUGUUCUCCUGGAUUUCCCGGUCGCCGCCGUCAAAUCUUCCGUUGUUGUAACACCUUGAAUCUUGUGUUCAUAUCGAACUUGUUUCCUAAUGUAAACGAGGUUUGAGUUGUUUGGUUAUGUAACUCGGUUGGUUAAGUAUGUUUUGGUUUGAUUUGUUUAGUUUCGGUUUUUGAUAAUAAGAAUCUGGUUUUGUUGGAACUUGGAAGUUUAUGAUUUCUUUUAUAAGUAAGUGUUUUCUUAAAGUGAAAAUGGUAAUACUGAAUUAUGUUUUCAUGUGAGUAAUGUGUCUCUUUUUGCUUCAAAUAUAAUUUAUCAGAAUAAACAAAUAGAAAAUA